RNAcentral lists this ribosomal RNA (328 nucleotides) under uncultured eukaryote. RNAcentral's name for it is "partial 18S ribosomal RNA". It matches the Rfam family "Eukaryotic small subunit ribosomal RNA", at positions 1470 to 1796 of the family's 1831-position model. The record is from RNAcentral.
CCCUUAGAUGUCCUGGGCCGCACGCGCGUUACACUGAUGCAUUCAACGAGCUUAUAACCUUGGCCGAGAGGCCUGGGCAAUCUUGUUAACGUGCAUCGUGAUAGGGAUAGAUUAUUGAAAUUAUUAAUCUUGAACGAGGAAUUCCUAGUAAACGCAGAUCAUCAAUCUGCAUUGAUUACGUCCCUGCCCUUUGUACACACCGCCCGUCGCACCUACCGAUUGGAUGGUCCGGUGAAGCCUCGGGAUUGUGGUUCUUGCCGCUUUGUUGUGGCGUGACCACGAGAACUUGUCUAAACCUUAUCAUCUAGAGGAAGGUGAAGUCGUAACA